RNAcentral lists this long non-coding RNA (219 nucleotides) under Linum usitatissimum (flax). RNAcentral's name for it is "long non-coding RNA (LUSI_LNC000217)". Lineage: Eukaryota; Viridiplantae; Streptophyta; Magnoliopsida; Malpighiales; Linaceae. The record is from RNAcentral.
GUGAUACAUGUGGGUUCUAUCUUUUCCAUGCAUGGGCAUUCUGGAGUCAGGGGAAAGCAGUCGAGUUGAUUGAUUUGUCAAUUAGAGAUUCGUGUACACGACAUGAGGAAUUGUUCAGAUUCAUGCAAGAUAAGUAAAUUUUAUGUUUCAUCGAUGUUAGUUCUUUCCCUUUCUGCAUCGAGACUACAGUUAAACGCCAGCACUGGGAAAACUGGUUGU